AUUGAGGCUAGAGCCACGCUUGAGUAUUGGCUAGCCUUAGUGCACUAGAGUCCUUGAAGAAUAAUUACUGACCUUAUUCACUGGCUGUUGGCCUCAUGGCCCAGUCAGUCACCAGGUAAGUGACAUGC
Small nucleolar RNA from Nannospalax galili (Upper Galilee mountains blind mole rat), 128 nucleotides. NCBI's taxonomy places the organism in Eukaryota, Metazoa, Chordata, Mammalia, Rodentia, Spalacidae. The record is from Ensembl.